GCGCUAUUUACAGUUUUAUAAAAUUUGGGUCACAUAAUCUCCUUGCAAAAUGAAACAAAUUGCUGUUUUAAAAAAUAGGGGUCCAUGCACUCGUUUUCAAAUUAAAUCAGUUUGAAUGAUAAAAAUCAUUCGAAAAAUGUAUCUUUUCCCGAUAUGUCAGAGUUUGACGUCGCGAAAAUAACAUUUUAUGUUAGCAACGUCAUUACCUUCACUGUAACUGUAUCGUAUGCCCUU
This 234-nucleotide long non-coding RNA is filed under the name Mytilus galloprovincialis (Mediterranean mussel). The record is from RNAcentral. Lineage: Eukaryota; Metazoa; Mollusca; Bivalvia; Mytilida; Mytilidae.